This 86-nucleotide transfer RNA is filed under the name Dreissena polymorpha. It matches the Rfam family "tRNA". Rfam says of the family: Transfer RNA (tRNA) molecules are approximately 80 nucleotides in length. Their secondary structure includes four short double-helical elements and three loops (D, anti-codon, and T loops). Lineage: Eukaryota; Metazoa; Mollusca; Bivalvia; Myida; Dreissenidae. The record is from Rfam by way of RNAcentral.
GGUCAGAUAGCUUAAUUGGUAAAGACCCAGGCUGUUAUCAUUCGAUUGCUCAUGGGUGGUUUCGAUUUCGAAUCCCGAUCUGACCU